This 92-nucleotide transfer RNA is filed under the name Clostridiales bacterium. RNAcentral describes it as "tRNA-Ser". It matches the Rfam family "tRNA". Rfam says of the family: Transfer RNA (tRNA) molecules are approximately 80 nucleotides in length. Their secondary structure includes four short double-helical elements and three loops (D, anti-codon, and T loops). Lineage: Bacteria; Bacillati; Bacillota; Clostridia; Eubacteriales. The record is from RNAcentral.
GGAGAGAUGGCUGAGCUGGUCUAAGGCGCACGACUGGAAAUCGUGUAAGCGUUUAUAGCGCUUCGAGAGUUCGAAUCUCUCUCUCUCCGCCA